UUUGACCGUAGAAACGAAUGGUGUCUCUAACACUGGCUUUUAGUGAACUGUUUCUCUUCUCCAGAUGCAGAACCUUCAAAGGAGUGUGGAAAGUGUCUGGAAGGAAAGGUGUGCACCUUGGAGCUUUCCUUGGAGUGUAUCUUUGAGCUGUUUGCGUUUGGGUGGUGAGUCUUUGGAAGAUGGGUAUCAUUGUCUCCAUUUUACAAGUGAGGAAGCAGAGGUUCAGAGUUGCUGUCCAAGAGCAUCAUACAUACAGUGGUGCAGCGGAGAUUCAAAUUGUGAUCUGAUGAUAAGCCGAGAUCUUCCUACAACAUGAUCUCUAUUGCUCCAGAGAGAAGAACUAGGAUCAAUGACUUAAAGUUACCCAGAGAAGAGUCAGCAUAAGAAAAUUCAGCAUAAGAUGCUGAGUGAAUAUCAGGAGGAACUUUUCAUCACCUAGAGCCAGAAGCAUUCUUGAAUAUGAAAGGGCUCUGAGCCUUGCCGCUCCCACUCUCACUGCAGGUCUGCAAAUAGGAAAUGAAUGACUACCUGUCACAGAAGCUGUGAAUGUGAUAGCUGUGUUAGGGAAAAUGUUGAUCCACAUCACCUCCGAAAUCCCUUCCAAUUAGUGUACCCUUUGAGUCUGUGACAUUCUGCACCCUCAAAGAGUCUAUAUACUUCUGAGAAAAUGGGACAAAGGGGAAAGUAACUUUUUAGAAAGAAUUUUAAACAUUCGUGUUGAUUAUCAACAUCAUGCUUAUUAUAGGCAAUUUGGAAAAUUCAGGAAAGUAGUAAGAAGAAAAGAAAUGCUACACAACAACACAGUGAUAGCCACAGUGAACACUUGGUGUCUCUUCUUUCAUUUUUCUCCAUGUUUAUCAAAUUU
This 865-nucleotide long non-coding RNA is filed under the name Homo sapiens (human). Its description in RNAcentral is "HSALNT0218644". Lineage: Eukaryota; Metazoa; Chordata; Mammalia; Primates; Hominidae. The record is from RNAcentral.